AUGCAAGUCGAACGGUAACAGGCCUUCGGGUGCUGACGAGUGGCGGACGGGUGAGUAAUGCGUAGGAAUCUGCCUUGUUGUGGGGGAUAACUCGGGGAAACUCGAGCUAAUACCGCAUACGCUCUACGGAGGAAAGCGGGGGACUUUCGGGCCUCGCGCAAUAAGAUGAGCCUACGUCGGAUUAGCUAGUUGGUGGGGUAAAGGCCCACCAAGGCGACGAUCCGUAGCUGGUCUGAGAGGACGAUCAGCCACACUGGGACUGAGACACGGCCCAGACUCCUACGGGAGGCAGCAGUGGGGAAUAUUGGACAAUGGGCGCAAGCCUGAUCCAGCAAUGCCGCGUGUGUGAAGAAGGCCU
Molecule: ribosomal RNA, 358 nt
Filed under: Methylococcus capsulatus
Lineage: Bacteria; Pseudomonadati; Pseudomonadota; Gammaproteobacteria; Methylococcales; Methylococcaceae
Description: bacterial SSU rRNA
Rfam family: Bacterial small subunit ribosomal RNA
Source: RNAcentral